UGUGUUUUGGGCCGCCCAUUUGGGCCUAAUAGCUUUUUCAUAACCCAACUUUCCAUAACCCAAAAUAUGUCUACUGUUGCCCAAAAAAUUAUCCUUUUCAUGCACUAUGUACUGUUUUAUAAUUUCAUUUCCAAAAUUACCCCUCCACAUCCAUGUUAGCAGCCAUCUCCCUCUCCAUGUCACGGGUUGUGCUUUUAAUAAAUAAACACAAAAAUCUUAAACAAGUUAGCAAAACCCACGCAACACCCGACUGUGAAAUUUGGGGAAACCAGGUUAGGGCAAAAGGAGAGAAAGUCAGAGAGAGUCCUUAGCUUCUUUCUCUUCUCUCUCUUUUCUCUCUGUUGGGUGAAUUUCUCAGUGAAAAAUCGAAAGCUUGUAAGCUGUAAUCGAUUCAUGCGUGUCUCCAUACUACUGAUCCGCAAAUUUCUUCAAAUAAAGCCCACGCGACACUCGACUCUGAAAUUUGGGGAACCCAAGUUAGGGCAAAAGGAGAGAAAGUCACAGAGAGUCCUUAGCUUCGCUCUCUUCUCUCUCUUCUCUCUCUGUUGUGUGAAUUUCUCAAUGAAAAAUCGAAAGCUUGUAAGCUGUAAUCGAUUCACGCGUGUCGCCGUACUACUGAUCCGCAAAUUUCUUCAGAUAAAGCGAUUUCAUCUCCAGGUUCUCGCCUUCAUUUAGAGAUUUCCACUCUGUUAUGAGCUCUCUUACACUAUUCAAGUUAGAUUCGCUUUCUAGUCCAUCUUUUAGCUUCUGUUUGGUUGCUCAGAAAACUGAGGUAAAUGAGGAAAAUAUGAGGCGAAACUUAUAUGAUUAUUUUUUUUUCUAUUGUUGUUGGUUUCUUUGCAAUGAAAGAGAGCAAAUGUUUAGGCGCAGCUGUAAAUCUUGAGCUUUGUUCUUUAUUCCCGUUUUUUUUCUUCCGGCGACCACACGAACGAACGAUAAAUAUGUACAUUUUUGUGUAUUCUUUACUUGGUCUUUCCUGAUUACUAUUUUUGUUUGGUAAUUUUUUUCAUUGAUUUCAUGCAUCUGGAACUAUUCAGUGCACGUAAUUUAGGUUUCUGGCCUAAUUUUUGGGAUUUAGGUUCUCUUGAGAUUGACAAUUAAUUAGUGUUUUUAUUUUUAAUUGCAAUUUAGCACCCGAGGAAAGCUGAAUUUCUAAACUUCUGUUCUGUGAUUAGAUGCUUAGUUUGUGACAUGACUGAUUUUCUCGAAUACCUAUGUAAUUUCUGCUCUGUGGGAUGGUUGAUUUUGUUUGACCUUGAUUGAAUUUUUAAACUCUUUUUUUGCUCUUGGAUUUGGUUCUUGAGGUAAGAUAAAGUUGUGGGUAUGUUUUUAUUUUAUUUGUUUUUGUGUUCUUUUAAUAAAAGCUUGCUGUUUUUAUGUUGGGUGUUUGUUUAUUAAUGUUUUUUAGCACUUUGUGUGGAUUGAUUGAUUGUAAUCCUAAUUUUCUGUGCUUUUUUUUUUCUUUUCUUUUUUUCUGGGUUUUUUGGUUUAAUUCGUUCAAGGGUUUUGUUUAAAGGUGGUAAGGAGCAGAUUAUAUAAGCCUAUAAGCAUGUAUUCAAAGCUGGUUGGAUUGAGGAAAGCUGAACUUCUGAACUUCUGCUGUGUGAUUAGAUGCUUAGUUUGUGACAUGACUUAUUUUCUCGAAUAUCUAUGUAACUUCUGCUCUGUGGGAUGGUUGAUUUUGUUUGACCUUGAUUGAAUUUUUAAACUCUUUUUAGUUAAAUGUUAAUGGAAACUGAUGCAAACCCUAAUGAGUAGGUGUGGCAAUAUGAGCUCUUGGGAAUUAGGACAUGUUUGGGAGACAAAGUUGGAGAAUUCAAGAACAGAUGCCAGAGGCAGUAUAAGCUAUUUGAACCAAAACCCACCUCUCCUGCCACCUAGAGAGCUGUUUUUUAUGAUAUAUUUUAAAAUUAAGUUUAUAAUUUGUUUUUCCUUUUUUUAAUGCAUAGAGCUUCACAUCAAACAGCAAAUAAGGUUUUCUUACUUUGUGCCAAAUGGAGGGUCCUUAGCUUCUCUCUCUUCUCUCUCUUUUCUCUCUGUUGUGUGAAUUUCUCAGUGAAAAAUCGAAAGCUUGGGUUCUUAUCCAUCUUAAUUUUUAUUAAAUGAAAACCAUGGGUUGGGUUCAAUCACUGCUACCAUUGGACUAUGAUACUCUUUGAUAAGAUAUAUUUAUUUUAAAUUUGUUAAGGUUCAUCAUUACAAAAAUACAAUUUUAAUUAUUUAAUUUGAAAUUAUAUGCUGUAAUUUUAUUCAGAUUUGUUUAUAUUAGCUACGAGAUUGUUUCUUGCUGGUUCUUGCUUCUCAAAAGUUGUCUUAAAUGCUUAUUAUGUUGCCACUUGUUAUAACCCUUGAUACUUGGUUCAAGUAGCAAAGUGUUGGGGUGGGAUGCUGGUAGGUUUCCAAUUUCAUUUUCAGGGGAGGAAAAAAUUGUUACCUAUAUAAAAUGUUUAUUUUGUUGUGAUACUUAUUUACAAACAUAAGUGACUUUAACUUCUUCCUGUUAAAACAUACAAGAAGAAACCUAUGUUAUUUACAAUAAGCAUUAAUGAUUUUUAGCUUUUUCAUUAUGUAUUGUAUGUCAGCUUUGAAAUUUCUGCCCUGUCCCUUUUUCUUUUCCCAUUCUCAACUUCUCAUUGUUGGAUUACAGAUAUAUAUAGACUGUUUGCAAAAGUCAAGAUUCCAACAUUCAUAGAUUACUUGGGAAUUGUUGUUGAGCUUCUCCUUGUUGGACUACAUAUAUAUACGGACUUUUUGAAGAAACCAACUUUGUAGCAUUCAUAGAUUACUUGGGAACUGUUUUUGAGGUGAUGGAAGAGGACAUGUUCUGUUACAUUCAUGAAGGCGGUCAGCUAGUUAAAUGUGUUGGAGGGUCUGUUCAAUAUCAAGGUGGUCGUAGCGAAUCGAUGGUUGUUAGUCGACAUAUGUCACAUAGUGAUUUUGUUUCAAAACUGUGUGAUGCAUUGCACUUUGACCAGAAUUCUAUCAAAUUGGAAUUCACGGUCAAGUUUGAGCCAUCAUGUCUACUACCGUUGCAUGAUGAUGCAGCCCUACUUAAGAUGUUUCGAUUCAACGAAAUGUUUUGUCACGUCUAUGUCUCAUCAUCAAGUGAAGUUGUUGAAGGCUAUAUAGCACCGACUAGGU
This is a long non-coding RNA of Vitis vinifera (wine grape), 3141 nucleotides long. RefSeq lists it as uncharacterized. The transcript is spliced from 3 exons. The record is from RefSeq and is a predicted model, not a curated record. NCBI's taxonomy places the organism in Eukaryota, Viridiplantae, Streptophyta, Magnoliopsida, Vitales, Vitaceae.